CAAGCGAGAGCGCGCGGGGGGGGCGGGGGGCACGGGGCGUUGCACGAGGCCCUUGCACGAGGCCCCGUGUUGCACGAGGGCCGUUGCACGCAGCCGCACGUUGCACGAGUCCAUUGCACGAGAGCCCGCGUUGCACGAGGCCGCGUGUUGCACGAGGCCGCCACGUCUGUGUCUCUCGCACGGUCUGGGGGCGCUCUGGGGGGGUUUGCAGCUCCACAACCAUUGCACGAGGACCCCACGUUGCACGAGGCCCCCACGUUGCACGAGGCUCCGUGUUGCACAAGGCUCCGUGUUGCACGAGGCUGCCGUUGCACAAGGCUGCUGUCACGUGACGUCCCCGUUGCACGAGGCCCCGUGUUGCACGAGGCCCCCCCCCCCGUUGUCCAGGCCCUCCCUUCUGCGUCCCUUGCACAUCCUCCUUGGAGGUGCUCACGAGGGGGGGGCACAAGGCUGCACGUUGCACGAGGGCUGAGCAUCUCCUGCGGCAGCCGUUGCACAAUGCCGUGCAUUGCACGAGGCCGCCUUUGCACGAGGCGAGGCAUUGCACGUGGGGCUGGGUGGCACAAGGCCGUGCUUUGCACGAGGCCAUGUGUUGCACGAGGCUGUGCUUGGCACGGGGGGGGGGGGUUGUAUUGCAUGAGGUUGUGCAUCGCACGAGGCCACACGUUGCAUGAGGCCACACAUUGCACAGUGUCGUGCCUUGCACGAGGGCUCCACAGCACAAGGAUUGUGCACCGCGUGGAGCCGUGCAUCGCACGAGGCUUCUGUGCACUGCACAGUGUUGUGCACCGCACGAUGCCCUUGUUGCAGAACACCGUGCAUUGCACAGCGCCAUGCACUGCACGAUUUUGUGCAUCAUGAAAGUGGUCAGUUGCAAAAGGCAUUGCACAAGGCCGUGCAUUGCACAAGGUCGUGCAUUGCACAAGGCUGCGCAUUGCACAAGGCCG
RNAcentral lists this long non-coding RNA (947 nucleotides) under Anas zonorhyncha (Eastern spot-billed duck). Its description in RNAcentral is "lncRNA (ENSAZOG00000004441.1)". Lineage: Eukaryota; Metazoa; Chordata; Aves; Anseriformes; Anatidae. The record is from RNAcentral.